UUUUGAAAGUAUCCUGAAUGUAAUUGCUCAAGUUCUGAACCAACUUAUAGCUCAAGUUCUUACUAUCUUUCUGAAUUCAUUCCAAGGUUUACAUUGUGUUAUGUAUUUAUAGAUUCGCUGACUAGACGAGCAAGGUAACCAAGCGAGGAGAGACCUGUUGAUUUGGACUUGCAGGAGCAUGUCUCAUAUGGCUUCACUAUGGUGCCCACAUUAUCGGGAUUUUCGGAUUUCCUCUUUAUAUGUUAUUCAAUAGUCAAGCUGAUUGAAGUGUACUAUUGCAACUUGUAUGUAUGUGUUCACCAGUGCUGCAGUAGGUAAAUGAAUUUUAAUUGGCACACACAUUAGAAGAAAUUAAUGUGUUUCACGAUAAAAUAUGCUUUACAAGUGCAUGAGGAAGGACAUUUUCUUUGAACUUAUUGUUUGCAAAUUCUCAGAUAGGGAUUUAUUGCGGUUUUGAGUAUAUCAGCCAGUUUUCUGUCGUUUCCUUAGCCUGCCAUAUUCAGCACAGAGAAUGAAUGCUUAUAUCUACACCGUUAUUUCACACAAAACAAUUUUGAUUGUAGAUUGAUUAUUAGUGAGCUAGGCCAGUAUGACCUUUCGUAAACUGCAGGUAUAUAGAGCCAGGGGGAGAUAGGGAGGUUGCCAAAGAUGGACCUAGGGCGAGGAGACUCUUUAACUUCCAACGGAGCACAACCAUAUUAAAAGAUGGUGAUCAAUCCAUUGAGUGAGCUCACCCUGGGCUGGCUGUAGCAUCACUGUGGAGGAACCGAUGAUGGUCCCAUAAAAUACACUGGCAUAGUGUUUCAGGACAAACAGUAAGUUAUCGAACUGAGGAGCCACAAUAUCCCAACAAGUCUUUGGAAAACAGCAGUUAAAGCCAACAGGACCUGGAGCUUUGUCACUAGGUAUUUUCCAAGCAUUACUUACUGUUUCUUCAAAUCCUAGAUGUUGACCCAAAUAUUCUCAAUCUGAAAUGCUUUACUUCUGGGGAUUUUUUUUGUUCCGUGUCAGACUCGGUGCCAAAGAAAGAGUCGAUUCGAAGCCUGCCAUCUCUGAAUUCAUUAACAAAUAUUUACCUGGGACUGGUUAGCUGACCUGACUGUAAUUUAGAAAUGCCGAGAGCUUAGCCACGCAUCGAAAAGGGCAGGGUUGUGAUCUAAAAUAAUUAACUGGUUAUACAAUUUAUUUCUUAUGGUUCCUCACUAGGAGGCCUAAAAGGCAAGCAUAUGAUCACCUCAGGGC
This is a long non-coding RNA of Lolium rigidum, 1242 nucleotides long. RefSeq lists it as uncharacterized. The record is from RefSeq and is a predicted model, not a curated record. The transcript is spliced from 5 exons. Lineage: Eukaryota; Viridiplantae; Streptophyta; Magnoliopsida; Poales; Poaceae.